Molecule: ribosomal RNA, 1850 nt
Filed under: human metagenome
Description: bacterial LSU rRNA
Rfam family: Bacterial large subunit ribosomal RNA
Source: RNAcentral
CCGGGACCAUCCGGUAAGGCUAAAUACUCCCGAGAGACCGAUAGCGAACCAGUACUGUGAAGGAAAGGUGAAAAGAACCUCGAACAGAGGAGUGAAACAGACCCUGAAACCAUGCGCCUACAAGCGGUCGGAGCAUGUUAAAAUGUGACGGCGUGCCUUUUGCAUAAUGAACCUACGAGUUACUCUCGCUGGCAAGGUUAAGCGAUUCAGUCGCGCAGCCGAAGCGAAAGCAAGUCCGAACAAGGCGUACAGUCAGCGGGAGUAGACGCGAAACCAAGUGAUCUACCCUUGGUCAGGUUGAAGGUUGGGUAACACCAACUGGAGGACCGCACCGAUAAGCGUUGAAAAGCUUACGGAUGAACUGAGGGUAGGAGUGAAAGGCCAAUCAAACUUGGAGAUAGCUCGUACUCCCCGAAAUGCAUUUAGGUGCAGCCUCGAAGUAAAGUGAUAGAGGUAGAGCGACUGAUAAGAUGCGAGGGCUUCACCGCCUAUCAAGUCUUGACAAACUCCGAAUGCGCAUCAGUUCUACCGCAGGAGUGAGGGCAUGGGUGCUAAGGUCCGUGCCCGAGAGGAGAAGAAUCCGGACCACCUGCUAAGGUCCCGAAAUAACAGCUAAGUUAAACUAACGAAGUCAGAUUGCUAAGACAGCUAGGAUGUUGGCUUGGAAGCAGCCAUUCAUUUAAAGAGUGCGUAACAGCUCACUAGUCGAGGAGUUUGGCGUGGAUAAUAAUCGGGCAUUAAGCAAUUUACCGAAGCUAUGGGAUCAGUAAUGAUCGGUAGGGGAGCAUUCCACUCUGCGUCGAAGGUGAAGCGUGAGCUUUGCUGGAGCGUGUGGAAAAGCAAAUGUAGGUAUAAGUAACGAUAAAGGGGGUGAGAAACCCCCUCGCCGAAAGACUAAGGUUUCCUGAUCAACGCUAAUCGGAUCAGGGUCAGUCGGGUCCUAAGGCUCAGCCGAACGGCGAUGCCGAUGGCAGAAACGGUUAAUAUUCCGUUACUACCUUCAGGAGUGACGUGGAGACGCAGUAGUGACAGUGCCGCCAUCUGACGGAAUAGAUGGUUGAAGGGUGUAGGAGUCGAUCAUGGCAGGCAAAUCCACCAUGAGAUCCGAACCUGAUAGUAUGCCGCGUCCUUCGGGACAAGGCAAUAGUGCGCGUAAGCAUGCUGCCGAGAAAAUCCGCUAAACUUAAUCCUGCAGGUACCCGUACCGCAAACGGACACACGUAGUCGGGAUGAAUAUUCUAAGGCGCUUGAGUGAUUCACGGUUAAGGAACUAGGCAAACUGACCCUGUAACUUCGGGAUAAAGGGUCCUCGCUUUACGGCGAGGCGCAGAGAAUAGGUCCAGGCAACUGUUUAACAAAAACACAGGGCUGUGCAAAAUUUCAAGAUGAAGUAUACAGCCUGACACCUGCCCGGUGCCGGAAGGUUAAGAGGAGAGCUAAUCGCAAGAGAAGGCUUGAAUUGAAGCCCCGGUAAACGGCGGCCGUAACUAUAACGGUCCUAAGGUAGCGAAAUUCCUUGUCGGGUAAGUUCCGACCUGCACGAAUGGUGUAAUGAUCUGGACACUGUCUCAACCGUGAGCUCGGUGAAAUUGUAGUAUCGGUGAAGAUGCCGAUUACCCGCAACGGGACGAAAAGACCCCGUGAACCUUUACUGCAACUUAGCAUUGCGUUUGGGCAUUUGAUGUGUAGGAUAGUCCGGAGGCUACGAGUCGGCGACGCCAGUCGUCGAGGAGCCGCUGUUGAAAUACGGACCUUCGAAUGUUUGAGCGCUAACUCGCUGUAGCGAGGACACUGUUUGGUGGGUAGUUUGACUGGGGUGGUCGCCUCCAAAAGCGUAACGGAGGCUUCUA